UACAGCUCAAAUUUGAAAUCUGGCUCCUCUGGAGUCCGAGUUGUAAUUUGUAGAAGAUGCUUUGGGUUGUGGGUUCGGCCUAAGUUCCUUGGAACAGGACGUCAUAGAGGGUGAGAAUCCCGUAUGUGGCCGAGGCCCGCGCCUAUGUAAAGCUCUUUCAACGAGUCGAGUUGUUUGGGAAUGCAGCUCAAAAUGGGUGGUAAAUUUCAUCUAAAGCUAAAUAUGGGCCAGAGACCGAUAGCGCACAAGUAGAGUGAUCGAAAGAUGAAAAGCACUUUGGAAAGAGAGUUAAACAGUACGUGAAAUUGUUGAAAGGGAAGCGCUUGCACCCAGACUUGGGCGCUGCUGAUCACCUUGAGGUCUCCUCGAGUGCACUCGACAGCGCACAGGCCAGCAUCGGUUCGGGUGGCUGGAUAAAGGCCGUAGGAACGUAGCUCCUUUCGGGGAGUGUUAUAGCCUACGGUGCCAUGCAGCCCAGCCGGACCGAGGACCGCGCCUUCGGGCUAGGAUGCUGGCGUAAUGGGUGUAAGCGACCCGUCUUGAAACACGGACCAAGGAGUCUAACAUCUAUGCGAGUGUUUGGGUGGUAAACCCAUACGCGGAAUGAAAGUGAACGUAGGUGAGAACCCCUUUGGGGCGCAUCAUCGACCGAUCCUGAUGUCUUCGGAUGGAUUGAU
This 677-nucleotide ribosomal RNA is filed under the name Erysiphe bremeri. RNAcentral describes it as "eukaryotic LSU rRNA". It matches the Rfam family "Eukaryotic large subunit ribosomal RNA", at positions 103 to 794 of the family's 3401-position model. Lineage: Eukaryota; Fungi; Ascomycota; Leotiomycetes; Helotiales; Erysiphaceae. The record is from RNAcentral.